RNAcentral lists this ribosomal RNA (154 nucleotides) under Salix viminalis (osier). Its description in RNAcentral is "5.8S ribosomal RNA". It matches the Rfam family "5.8S ribosomal RNA". From Rfam's summary of the family: 5.8S ribosomal RNA (5.8S rRNA) is a component of the large subunit of the eukaryotic ribosome. It is transcribed by RNA polymerase I as part of the 45S precursor that also contains 18S and 28S rRNA. The record is from Rfam by way of RNAcentral. Lineage: Eukaryota; Viridiplantae; Streptophyta; Magnoliopsida; Malpighiales; Salicaceae.
GACUCUCGACAAUGGAUAUCUCGACUCUCAAAUCGAUGAAGAAUAUAGCAAAAUGCGAUACUUGGUGUGAAUUGUAGAAUCUCAUGAACAUCAAGUCAUUGAACGCAAAUUGCAUCCAAGGUCUUUGGUCGAGGGCAUGUCUACUUAGGUGUCA